AGAUGCCCGGUCCCCAGCCCUCUUGGACCCACCCUGCUCUCCCUACAGGUACAGGAGUUUUGACCUAAGAGAUGACUCAGGCUCCAAGUCUUCCAAGCAAAGCAUUACUUCAAUUUUUGAGAGAAAUGCCUCCUGAGCUCCCACAAUCCUCAGGGAGGCACAAGGAGACUCUGAGGUCCCAGACUCUGAGCUCCCUGGGGAUAGAACUCAAUGUGACUGCCCGGUGUCUGCUGCUUAGUCAAGGUUCCAUCUCAGCAAUAUUUGUUCCAUGAACAAAUGAAAAAGCAAACAGAGAGCUAGAGAACAUUCACUUCAGAAAGUUGGAAAGGGCCUUUGAAAUGCUUUGUUCUCAUCCCUUCACAUCAGAGUUGGUGGGAUGGAUGGAGAUCCAAAGAAGGGUUACUGCCCAACUGAUUAUCUUCUGGACUAGAAAAUAAGCUUCAUGAGAAGGAAAACAUCUCUGUUCUUGCCACUGACUCUGCAGAGGUACAGUUCCUGAGGAAGGAUUGUGCCAGGCCAGUUGCUCUGAGGAAUCAUGAGAGCUUCUGCUGAUGGGGGACCAGGAAAGCAAGACAUCUGGGGAAAAGGAAGAAGCUUUCAGUCUCACAGGAAACCCUGAGUCCAGAGCAGGAACAAGCUUGUUUCAAGACCCAAGAAAGUGAAAACUGGUUCCAAGAGGGCUUCCAGAGACGUCUCACCUGUUCUUCAUUCAGUAAAUAUUUAUCGAGCACCUCCAGUGUGCCAGCCAUGUUCUGGGCCCUGUGGACCCACAGUGAACAAUGGAAAAAAAUUCCAAUCUAUGGGACUUGCUUUCUACUACAAUGAGUGAAAGAAAUAGGAUAGCAAAGAAUAAACAUAAUUAAGUGGUAAA
Chinchilla lanigera (long-tailed chinchilla) is the source of this 871-nucleotide long non-coding RNA. RefSeq lists it as uncharacterized. The transcript is spliced from 4 exons. The record is from RefSeq and is a predicted model, not a curated record. NCBI's taxonomy places the organism in Eukaryota, Metazoa, Chordata, Mammalia, Rodentia, Chinchillidae.